AAUGAUAUGCCCGAAUAAAGGAUUAUUUUGAUAGAAUAAAUCAUGCAAAUUUUGCUAUCAUUA
RNAcentral lists this transfer RNA (63 nucleotides) under Photinus pyralis (common eastern firefly). RNAcentral's name for it is "tRNA-Ile". The record is from RNAcentral. Lineage: Eukaryota; Metazoa; Arthropoda; Insecta; Coleoptera; Lampyridae.